AGAAAAGUAGCCACUCAUGCAAUGAAGACAAGGCUGACGGAUACACUGCAGACAUCGAAAGCCAGCAGGAGAAUUCUCCACCAGCCAGUCUACAAGGCAGAGGCCUGCAGAAGAUACGGUUACUAGGUGUUCUGAAUGCUUCCAGAGUGCAUUGCUACAGACAACAAAAGUGAGCAAUGGUUGAUUUCAGAAGCUUUCUAAGCAUGAUCACAAAGGGGCUGAAAGCCACCUGACAACUCUUCAGUCACAUGUUACAGA
Long non-coding RNA from Chiroxiphia lanceolata (lance-tailed manakin), 258 nucleotides. RefSeq lists it as uncharacterized. The transcript has 3 exons. The record is from RefSeq and is a predicted model, not a curated record. NCBI's taxonomy places the organism in Eukaryota, Metazoa, Chordata, Aves, Passeriformes, Pipridae.